RNAcentral lists this ribosomal RNA (495 nucleotides) under uncultured Lachnospiraceae bacterium. Its description in RNAcentral is "partial 16S ribosomal RNA". The record is from RNAcentral. Lineage: Bacteria; Bacillati; Bacillota; Clostridia; Lachnospirales; Lachnospiraceae.
CACGUAGUUAGCCGGGGCUUCUUGGUCAGGUACUGUCAUUUUCUUCCCUGCUGACAGGGCUUUACGCACCGGAGUGCUUCUUCACCCACGCGGCAUUGCUGCAUCAGGGUUUCCCCCAUUGUGCAAUAUUCCCCACUGCUGCCUCCCGCAGGAGUCUGGGCCGUGUCUCAGUCCCAAUGUGGCCGUCCACUCUCUCAAGCCGGCUACUGAUCAUCGUCUUGGUAGGCCGUUACCCUGCCAACUAACUAAUCAGACGCGGGCCCAUCCUGUACCACCGUGGUUUUCCCUGCUGUGCCAUGCGGCACCGCAGGCUUAUGCGGUAUUAGCAGCCAUUUCUGGCUGUUGUCCCCCGGUACAGGGCAGGUUGCCCACGCGUUACUCACCCGUCCGCCACUAGGUUUAUAUAUCUUCCCUCCGGAGAGUUCUGUUAUAUAAACCCCGUUGACUUGCAUGUGUUAGGCAUGCCGCCAGCGUUCAUCCUGAGCCAGGAUCAAA